RNAcentral lists this ribosomal RNA (253 nucleotides) under uncultured bacterium. Its description in RNAcentral is "partial 16S ribosomal RNA". It matches the Rfam family "Bacterial small subunit ribosomal RNA", at positions 524 to 776 of the family's 1533-position model. The record is from RNAcentral.
UACGUAGGUGGCGAGCGUUGUCCGGAAUUAUUGGGCGUAAAGCGCGCGCAGGUGGUUUAAUAAGUUUGAUGUAAAAGCCCACGGCUCAACCGUGGAAGUUCAUUGGAAACUGUUAAACUUGAGUGCAGGAGAGAAAAGCGGAAUUCCUAGUGUAGCGGUGAAAUGCGUAGAGAUUAGGAGGAACACCAGUGGCGAAGGCGGCUUUUUGGCCUGCAACUGACGCUGAGGCGCGAAAGCGUGGGGAGCAAACAGG